Molecule: transfer RNA, 62 nt
Filed under: Loxodonta africana (African savanna elephant)
Lineage: Eukaryota; Metazoa; Chordata; Mammalia; Proboscidea; Elephantidae
Rfam family: tRNA
About the family: Transfer RNA (tRNA) molecules are approximately 80 nucleotides in length.
Source: Rfam by way of RNAcentral
UGGUGUUUCAGUGGUAGAAUUCUUGCUUUCCAUGCUGGAGACCCAGGUUCGAUUCCUGGCCA